RNAcentral lists this transfer RNA (73 nucleotides) under Trichonephila inaurata madagascariensis. It matches the Rfam family "tRNA". Rfam says of the family: Transfer RNA (tRNA) molecules are approximately 80 nucleotides in length. Their secondary structure includes four short double-helical elements and three loops (D, anti-codon, and T loops). Lineage: Eukaryota; Metazoa; Arthropoda; Arachnida; Araneae; Nephilidae. The record is from Rfam by way of RNAcentral.
GUCCCUGUAGCGUAAUGGAUAGCACGUUGGACUUCUAAUUCAAGGGCUGUGGAUUCGAAUCCCACCUGGGAUG